GGGAAGAGCUCAAAUUUUGAAUCUGGCGGUGUUUGGCCGUCCGAGUUGUAAUCUAGAGAAGCGUGUUCUGUGUUGGACCGUGUACAAGUCUCCUGGAAGGGAGCGUCAUAGAGGGUGAGAGUCCCGUCUUUGACACGGACUACCAAUGCUAUGUGAUGCGCUCUCGACGAGUCGAGUUGUUUGGGAAUGCAGCUCAAAACGGGUGGUAAAUUCCAUCUAAAGCUAAAUACAGGCGAGAGACCGAUAGCGAACAAGUACCGUGAGGGAAAGAUGAAAAGAACUUUGGAAAGAGAGUUAAACAGUACGUGAAAUUGCUGAAAGGGAAACGCUUGAUGUCAGUCGCGUGGGCCGGGGAUCAACCUUUGCACUUUUUCGCUGGGUGUACUUCCCGGUCGACGGGUCAGCAUCAGUUUCGGUCGCCAUACAAGGGCGAGGGGAAUGUGGCACCCUUCUGGGGUGUGUUAUAGCCUUUCGUCGCAUGUGGUGCUCGAGACUGAGGAACUCAGCACGGCUUUUCAGCAGUGUGCUUUUAGGAUGCUGGCAUAAUGGCCUUAAGCGACCCGUCUUGAAACACGGACCAAGGAGUCUAACAUGCCUGCGAGUGUUUGGGUGCCAAACCCGAGCGCGUAAUGAAAGUGAACGUUGAGACCUCUGUCGUGGAGGGCACCGACGCCCGGACCUGAGUCUUUGACGACGGAUCUGCGGUAGAGCAUGC
RNAcentral lists this ribosomal RNA (715 nucleotides) under Singerocomus inundabilis. Its description in RNAcentral is "eukaryotic LSU rRNA". It matches the Rfam family "Eukaryotic large subunit ribosomal RNA", at positions 100 to 805 of the family's 3401-position model. Lineage: Eukaryota; Fungi; Basidiomycota; Agaricomycetes; Boletales; Boletaceae. The record is from RNAcentral.